This 105-nucleotide ribosomal RNA is filed under the name Escherichia coli O157:H7 str. K2581. RNAcentral's name for it is "partial 23S ribosomal RNA". The stretch from base 1 to 87 matches the Rfam family "Bacterial large subunit ribosomal RNA", at positions 2839 to 2925 of the family's 2925-position model. Lineage: Bacteria; Pseudomonadati; Pseudomonadota; Gammaproteobacteria; Enterobacterales; Enterobacteriaceae. The record is from RNAcentral.
UGAAGACGACGACGUUGAUAGGCCGGGGGUGUAAGCGCAGCGAUGCGUUGAGCUAACCGGUACUAAUGAACCGUGAGGCUUAACCUUACAACGCCGAAGGUGUUU